GAUGAAGAACGUAGCGAAAUGCGAUAAGUAGUGUGAAUUGCAGAAUUUAGUGAAUCAUCGAAUCUUUGAACGCAUAUUGCGCCUUUUGGUAUUCCGAAGGGCAUACCUGUUCGAGCGUCGUUACAAUUCUUAAGCUCUGCUUAAUGGUGAACGCUUUGUCUAACUAGUAGUUUAGACUCGUUCCAAAGGCAUUGGCGUCGAUUAUUGGUCUUACGCGUAGCAAAAUCUUUCGCAUACAGACCGAUGAAUAGACUGCCCUAAUGGUAUGUCGUGUUGUUUCGACAUUUUGUUUGACCUCGGAUCAGGUAGGGAUACCCGCUGAACUUAAGCAUAUCAAUAAGCGGAGGA
RNAcentral lists this unclassified non-coding RNA (348 nucleotides) under soil metagenome. Its description in RNAcentral is "partial contains 5.8S ribosomal RNA, internal transcribed spacer 2, and large subunit ribosomal RNA". The stretch from base 1 to 120 matches the Rfam family "5.8S ribosomal RNA", at positions 35 to 154 of the family's 154-position model. The record is from RNAcentral.